This 461-nucleotide ribosomal RNA is filed under the name uncultured bacterium. RNAcentral's name for it is "partial 16S ribosomal RNA". It matches the Rfam family "Bacterial small subunit ribosomal RNA", at positions 28 to 523 of the family's 1533-position model. The record is from RNAcentral.
GAUGAACGCUGGCGGCGUGCCUAAUACAUGCAAGUCGUGCGGCAGCGAGCCCUUCGGGGUGUCGGCGAGCGGCGGACGGCUGAGUAACACGUAGGAACAUACCCCAAAGUGAGGGAUAACUGCUCGAAAGAGUAGCUAAUACCGCAUGUGGUCUAAGGAUUAAAGCUUCGGCGCUUUGGGAAUGGCCUGCGUUCGAUUAGCUAGAUGGUGAGGUAAAGGCUCACCAUGGCGACGAUCGAUAGCUGGUCUGAGAGGAUGAUCAGCCAGACUGGGACUGAGACACGGCCCAGACUCCUACGGGAGGCAGCAGUAGGGAAUUUUCCACAAUGGGCGAAAGCCUGAUGGAGCAACGCCGCGUGCAGGAUGAAUGCCUUAGGGUUGUAAACUGCUUUUAUAUGUGACGAUUAUGACGGUAGCAUAUGAAUAAGGAUCGGCUAACUCCGUGCCAGCCGCCGCCGUAA